This 721-nucleotide long non-coding RNA is filed under the name Homo sapiens (human). RNAcentral describes it as "HSALNT0112784". The record is from RNAcentral. Lineage: Eukaryota; Metazoa; Chordata; Mammalia; Primates; Hominidae.
AGGUACUUAAAGCAAACUAGGGCACAUUUUAAAGUGUCAAAGUAAUAAUCACAUCUGUUCCCCAGCUCCUCUCAGUGUUUUCCUUGGCUUUCUUCCUGCCACACCUACUUUUGACCAAGGGCAUGCAUUUGCGUAGUCCGUAGCCAUGGAAGGACUAAGGAGAUCAGCUAAUAUUGGAAUACUGGGCUUAGUGGUGCUAGGCAGAAGACAAAUGAACCAACCAAACACAAGUAACAAGGGUUUAUGGUAUGGUCUAUAAGCAAAAACAUUUAAAUCUCAAAGUAGAACCAUUUAAGAAUACUGAAAAACCUCUUCAGCGAUUAGAUUUUAUUUAAUACAAGCAAAGUAAAAAACACGAAUGCCUCAAUAUGAAAUGGCUGAAAAAAAUUUCCAAAGAUUGAUGUUCUCCCAGAAAUGAUUUUUUGAGCUUAAUUUGCUUACCUGAACUUUGAGAUAAGACAAAAUCUAAAGGUCUCUCUUCAAAAUGUGUUGUAACCAGAAAGCUCUGCAAACCCAUGUGGAACUAAAUAGUAGUAUUUCUGAGGUUAGGCUGUCUGUGUGCUUUCUGGGCUAGAAGGUCAAACUUGAGUGAUAUGUGAAGGAGAGAGGAAGAAGCAGUAUUGCGCAGUGGUCACAGUGAUAACCGUGGUCUCAGGGUCAAAGGCGAUGGGAAUGCUGCAUAGAGAGGGGAGCUGUAAGUAAGGCUUUGCAGAAGAGGAAU